This 253-nucleotide ribosomal RNA is filed under the name uncultured bacterium. RNAcentral's name for it is "partial 16S ribosomal RNA". It matches the Rfam family "Bacterial small subunit ribosomal RNA", at positions 524 to 776 of the family's 1533-position model. The record is from RNAcentral.
UACAGAGGUCUCAAGCGUUGUUCGGAUUCAUUGGGCGUAAAGAGCGUGUAGGCGGCCUGGAAGGUCAGCUGUGAAAACUCGAGGCUCAACCUCGAGACGUCGGUUGAAACCACCUGGCUAGAGUCCGGAAGAGGAGAGUGGAAUUCCCGGUGUAGCGGUGAAAUGCGCAGAUAUCGGGAAGAACACCGGUGGCGAAGGCGGUCUGCUGGGCAGUUGCUGACACUGAGGCGCGACAGCGUGGGGAGCAAACAGA